UACGUAGGGUGCGAGCGUUGUCCGGAAUUAUUGGGCGUAAAGGGCUCGUAGGCGGUUUGUCGCGUCGGGGGUGAAAACCAUGGGCUUAACUCAUGGCUUGCUUUCGAUACGGGCAGACUAGAGGUAUGCAGGGGAGAACGGAAUUCCUGGUGUAGCGGUGAAAUGCGCAGAUAUCAGGAGGAACACCGGUGGCGAAGGCGGUUCUCUGGGCAUGACCUGACGCUGAGGAGCGAAAGUGUGGGGAGCGAACAGG
RNAcentral lists this ribosomal RNA (253 nucleotides) under uncultured bacterium. RNAcentral describes it as "partial 16S ribosomal RNA". It matches the Rfam family "Bacterial small subunit ribosomal RNA", at positions 524 to 776 of the family's 1533-position model. The record is from RNAcentral.